RNAcentral lists this ribosomal RNA (772 nucleotides) under uncultured Halobacteria archaeon. RNAcentral's name for it is "bacterial SSU rRNA". It matches the Rfam family "Archaeal small subunit ribosomal RNA", at positions 520 to 1289 of the family's 1478-position model. Lineage: Archaea; Methanobacteriati; Methanobacteriota; Halobacteria. The record is from RNAcentral.
CGUAGCUGGCCGCGCAAGUUCGUCGGGAAAUCCACUCGCUUAACGAGUGGGCGUCCGGCGAAAACUGUGCGGCUUGGGACCGGAAGAUCCAAGGGGUACGUCCGGGGUAGGAGUGAAAUCCCGUAAUCCUGGACGGACCACCGAUGGCGAAAGCACCUUGGAAGGACGGAUCCGACAGUGAGGGACGAAAGCUAGGGUCUCGAACCGGAUUAGAUACCCGGGUAGUCCUAGCCGUAAACGAUGCUCGCUAGGUGUGGCGCAGGCUACGAGCCUGCGCUGUGCCGUAGGGAAGCCGUGAAGCGAGCCGCCUGGGAAGUACGUCUGCAAGGAUGAAACUUAAAGGAAUUGGCGGGGGAGCACUACAACCGGAGGAGCCUGCGGUUUAAUUGGACUCAACGCCGGACAUCUCACCAGCUCCGACAGCAGUAAUGACGGUCAGGUUGAUGACCUUACCCGACGCCGCUGAGAGGAGGUGCAUGGCCGCCGUCAGCUCGUACCGUGAGGCGUCCUGUUAAGUCAGGCAACGAGCGAGACCCGCACCUCUAGUUGCCAGCAGCAUCUUGCGAUGGCUGGGUACACUAGGGGGACUGCCGUCGCUAAGACGGAGGAAGGAACGGGCAACGGUAGGUCAGUAUGCCCCGAAUGAGCUGGGCUACACGCGGGCUACAAUGGUCGAGACAGUGGGAUGCGACACCGAGAGGUGGAGCUAAUCUCCUAAACUCGAUCGUAGUUCGGAUUGCGGGCUGAAACCCGCCCGCAUGAAGCUGGAUUC